This 159-nucleotide ribosomal RNA is filed under the name bacterium. Its description in RNAcentral is "partial 16S ribosomal RNA". The record is from RNAcentral.
CCUACCGGAGGCAGCAGUGGGGAAUAUUGGACAAGGCGGCAAAGCGGAAUCCAGACAGGCCGCGAAAGCAAGAAGGUGCUAUGAUUGUAAAGCAAAAAAGCCGGGAGGAAGGACCAUCCAUAAUACGGAUGAUAAUGACGUACACAGAGAAGCCGAUCC